UGAGGAAUCUGUCCAUCGGCGGGGGAUAGCCGGCCCAACGGCCGGGUAAUACCGCGUACGUCGGCGAUGACGCAUGUCAUUGCCGGGAAAGCAGCAAUGCACCGAUGGAGGACCUCGCGGCCUAUCAGCUUGUUGGUGAGGUAACGCUCACCAAGGCGACGACGGGUAGCUGGU
Molecule: ribosomal RNA, 174 nt
Filed under: uncultured bacterium
Lineage: Bacteria
Description: partial 16S ribosomal RNA
Rfam family: Bacterial small subunit ribosomal RNA
Source: RNAcentral